AAAAGUAUAAAGGGAAAUGGUUGUUGUGUUUUUUUAACACUAACAUUAAAAGAGAAUUCGGUGUGAAUCCGAAACUGUCCCGCAGCUGUAAGCUCAUAACGGAAACCUAAUUUAUGGUCACUUUUCAAUAGAAGGGGAAGGCCAGGUGAAAGGAGUAAGUCAGAAGACCUGCCAUUUUUUAUUAAUUCAA
RNAcentral lists this non-coding RNA (190 nucleotides) under Formosa agariphila. Lineage: Bacteria; Pseudomonadati; Bacteroidota; Flavobacteriia; Flavobacteriales; Flavobacteriaceae. RNAcentral also lists the same sequence under 1 other name. The record is from RNAcentral.